This 466-nucleotide ribosomal RNA is filed under the name uncultured Alphaproteobacteria bacterium. RNAcentral describes it as "bacterial SSU rRNA". It matches the Rfam family "Bacterial small subunit ribosomal RNA", at positions 9 to 521 of the family's 1533-position model. Lineage: Bacteria; Pseudomonadati; Pseudomonadota; Alphaproteobacteria. The record is from RNAcentral.
GAGUUUGAUCCUGGCUCAGAACGAACGCUGGCGGCAUGCCUAACACAUGCAAGUCGAACGAGACCUUCGGGUCUAGUGGCGCACGGGUGCGUAACGCGUGGGAAUCUGCCCUUGGGUUCGGAAUAACAGUUAGAAAUGACUGCUAAUACCGAAUGAUGUCUUCGGACCAAAGAUUUAUCGCCCAGGGAUGAGCCCGCGUCGGAUUAGCUAGUUGGUAGGGUAAAAGCCUACCAAGGCGACGAUCCGUAGCUGGUCUGAGAGGAUGAUCAGCCACACUGGGACUGAGACACGGCCCAGACUCCUACGGGAGGCAGCAGUGGGGAAUAUUGGACAAUGGGCGAAAGCCUGAUCCAGCAAUGCCGCGUGAGUGAUGAAGGCCUUAGGGUUGUAAAGCUCUUUUACCCGGGAUGAUAAUGACAGUACCGGGAGAAUAAGCCCCGGCUAACUCCGUGCCAGCAGCCGCCGU